This 72-nucleotide transfer RNA is filed under the name Lepisosteus oculatus (spotted gar). It matches the Rfam family "tRNA". From Rfam's summary of the family: Transfer RNA (tRNA) molecules are approximately 80 nucleotides in length. Lineage: Eukaryota; Metazoa; Chordata; Actinopteri; Semionotiformes; Lepisosteidae. The record is from Rfam by way of RNAcentral.
GGGGGUAUAACUCAGCAGAAGAGCAUUUGACUGCUGAUCAAGAAAUCCCCGGUUCAAAUCCUGGUGCCCCCU